Molecule: long non-coding RNA, 681 nt
Filed under: Pelobates cultripes (western spadefoot toad)
Lineage: Eukaryota; Metazoa; Chordata; Amphibia; Anura; Pelobatidae
Source: RNAcentral
CCCCCCCCCCCGCAGCUCCCCUGGUUAGGAGUUAUUACACUCAUGUUCCAGAGCACACUCUCCAAGCAGGAAUCUGCACAGUGGUACACACACACCCAAACACGUUCGCAUGCAGCGCUGCCAGAAUCACCCCACUAUAGCAUGCAAACAUAAGUGCGCAGAACCACUGCAUUAUAAAGCUAUACAAUAUGACUUGCCAAACCUGCAGUAAGAGUAAACCCGUUUAACCCUUAACAUGCUCUUGAAUCGUAUAUGCCUGUUUUAACCUCACCAAGUUGACUAUUCAAUUUACCUAAAACCUCGCUUAACCUAUAAUAUAAAAAUGUGCUAGUACUAACCAAUCCUGCUCUAUUCAAACCAUCAAGCGAGAACAGUUCUGUUGUAUACAAAUUUAGCAUAGCAUGUUUAUUGCUAACCACGAAUGUCUUAUAGCCUGUUUUUAACCCUUAACAUGCUCUUGAAUCGUAUAUGCCUGUUUUAACCUCACCAAGUUGACUAUUCAACUUACCUAAAUCCUCGCUUAACCUAUAAUAUAAAAAUGUGCUAGUACUAACCAAUCCUGCUCUAUUCAAACCAUUAAGCGAGAACAGUUCUGUUGUAUACAAAUUUAGCAUAGCAUGUUUAUUGCUAACCACGAAUGUCUUAUAGCCUGUUUUUUUUCAAGAGGAAAAAAAUGUGCCG